AAUGACGAAAAUAAAGAAUGAAACGGGAAAGCUGUUCCAGCAGUGUGAAAGCACAAGAUUAUUGUAAAGCUGUUCCAACACUGUGGAAACACAAGAUUAUUGUAAGAAUGACGUUCAGCGAUUCCCUAUGAAAAUCGGAAUGGCUACACUGCACGCAAUGGGAGAACAAUACACACUGCCUUCAGCGGACAUCACAGCGUAACUUUGUUACUUUUGGCUGAAAUUAUUCAAAAAAAUUCACAAAAAUUGUUCGAGAUAUGAAUGACAUUAUGUCAAAAUUUGAUUAAAUUCUCAUUAGUUCUUCCCA
Molecule: long non-coding RNA, 307 nt
Organism: Schistocerca nitens (vagrant locust)
Lineage: Eukaryota; Metazoa; Arthropoda; Insecta; Orthoptera; Acrididae
Exons: 2
Source: RefSeq, a predicted model, not a curated record